GAAACAUCUUAGUACCCGGAGGAAGAGAAAGAAAAUUCGAUUCCCUUAGUAGCGGCGAGCGAAACGGGAAGAGCCCAAACCAACAAGCUUGCUUGUUGGGGUUGUAGGACACUCUAUACGGAGUUACAAAGGACGACAUUAGACGAAUCAUCUGGAAAGAUGAAUCAAAGAAGGUAAUAAUCCUGUAGUCGAAAAUGUUGUCUCUCUUGAGUGGAUCCUGAGUACGACGGAGCACGUGAAAUUCCGUCGGAAUCUGGGAGGACCAUCUCCUAAGGCUAAAUACUCUCUAGUGACCGAUAGUGAACCAGUACCGUGAGGGAAAGGUGAAAAGCACCCCGGAAGGGGAGUGAAAUAGAACCUGAAACCGUGUGCUUACAAGUAGUCAGAGCCCGUUAAUGGGUGAUGGCGUGCCUUUUGUAGAAUGAACCGGCGAGUUACGAUUUGAUGCAAGGUUAAGCAGUAAAUGUGGAGCCGUAGCGAAAGCGAGUCUGAAUAGGGCGUUUAGUAUUUGGUCGUAGACCCGAAACCAGGUGAUCUACCCUUGGUCAGGUUGAAGUUCAGGUAACACUGAAUGGAGGACCGAACCGACUUACGUUGAAAAGUGAGCGGAUGAACUGAGGGUAGCGGAGAAAUUCCAAUCGAACCUGGAGAUAGCUGGUUCUCUCCGAAAUAGCUUUAGGGCUAGCCUCAAGUGAUGAUUAUUGGAGGUAGAGCACUGUUUGGACGAGGGGCCCCUCUCGGGUUACCGAAUUCAGACAAACUCCGAAUGCCAAUUAAUUUAACUUGGGAGUCAGAACAUGGGUGAUAAGGUCCGUGU
Molecule: ribosomal RNA, 817 nt
Filed under: Staphylococcus aureus
Lineage: Bacteria; Bacillati; Bacillota; Bacilli; Caryophanales; Staphylococcaceae
Description: partial 23S ribosomal RNA
Rfam family: Bacterial large subunit ribosomal RNA
Source: RNAcentral